Long non-coding RNA from Eriocheir sinensis (Chinese mitten crab), 359 nucleotides. RefSeq lists it as uncharacterized. The record is from RefSeq and is a predicted model, not a curated record. The transcript has 3 exons. NCBI's taxonomy places the organism in Eukaryota, Metazoa, Arthropoda, Malacostraca, Decapoda, Varunidae.
GUGUGAUGGUUCACAUGGCAUCAAGAAGGAAGAUCGCCGAGUACUAAUGACAGUGGCAAAGAAUCUGGUAUAUGCUGAUUCAGAUGAAACAUUUCAAGAUGAAUGGAAUUGCUUUUGUCAGACCCCAGAAGCCCAAAAGUAUAACCAGUACAUGAGAUAUAGGCUACCGUACAAGAGGGAAAAAAUACAUACGUUGGUAUCUGGCAAAGCUGAUAGAAAGGAAGGAAGAAUGGAGUACUGUGUACAGGGCUGGAUUUUUGCUACGUGGACACCACACAAAUAAUUUUGCAGAAUCUACCAUGUGCAUCAUUAAAGAUAUCAUUCUCAACAGGUUAGUGUGCCAUUUGUCAUUAUAUAUA